UCAAGAAAGUAUUAGAUGAUAUUUUAAUUCAUGACAAAACAAUUUCUGUAAAAAAAACACCAUGGAUGCUAUAAACUUUUGAGCUAUGCCUGUACAGAACUGGGAACAUACUAAAAGUGGGGGUUUUCUAUAGAUUACUCUAUAAGAAGCAAUACUGAUGUGAUAAUGAUGGUCCUCUGUGAUAUGAGUUAAGAUUCUGUUCACAUCAGCACGGCAGACGGCAUGACAAGGGGGGAAACAAUUCAGAUCAUUCAGUGGCUCCAAAUGUGCUGUACAGAGAGAAAGGACCCAGAAGGGCUUGUGGAAACCCAGUCUGUGCUUGAGUAGAAGGCCUGCUGCCAGUCAGAACGUCUCAAUUUCAAUGUACAGAAUCGAACCCUCCGCUCAAUGAAACCACCAAAAUUUGGAAAAUCAGAUGAAGAGAGAGGAGGGGCACAGAGAGUGGAAUAAGAUCACACGUAUAACUGGAGAGGCGAACCCUAGGCCUUGAGGAGCGAGUCCAGAGAGACGAUGAAGAAGCAGCAACCCUUAGCUCACCCCCGUGGCCUGCUGAGCUUCAGUGGAGAGGCACCAGGCAAUGGAGCUGUUUGACUUUCCUUCUAUGUUCAUUGUCGUUCUUGGGACACAACACCAUGUGAGAGUGUCCUCCAAUUAGGUUUGAAAGAAGGAGCUCUCUGUCUCAACAGACAAGUUCUGCAAAACUCCCCUGACCUUGCUACCCACCUCACCAACCACUCAGAUCACAAACUGCAUAUCUGGCCUAAUGACUGCUCAAACACACCCCGAUAUCAGAUACUGGAGAUUGAUCACCUGGAGUGGAGGAGACCAUGCUUAUGCCCCCCACUUUAGACCAGAUCCUAAAGCUUUUCAAAUGACCGUUGUCAGUAUUCGGUAGAAUUUUUGUGCUCACCCUGAUAGCUAGAUCUGAGAGGGGCCCCUCCUCCCAGGGUGAUGAUUCAGUCUGAUGAGGGACUUCUGGAGACACUUGACUCCACAAUCAGAAAGCCCAUCCUGGAUUAGCCUCAACACAUAACUGGGCAGGAAUUCAAGAUCCGUUUACUUUAUAGCUUAGAAAAUAAGCAAUUGCUCAAAAUAAAGGAGGAUCAAAUUCA
This is a non-coding RNA of Ictidomys tridecemlineatus (thirteen-lined ground squirrel), 1112 nucleotides long. NCBI's taxonomy places the organism in Eukaryota, Metazoa, Chordata, Mammalia, Rodentia, Sciuridae. The record is from RefSeq and is a predicted model, not a curated record.